Molecule: ribosomal RNA, 253 nt
Filed under: uncultured bacterium
Lineage: Bacteria
Description: partial 16S ribosomal RNA
Rfam family: Bacterial small subunit ribosomal RNA
Source: RNAcentral
UACGGGGGGGGCAAGCGUUGUUCGGAAUUACUGGGCGUAAAGGGCUCGUAGGCGGCCAUCUAAGUCAGACGUGAAAUCCCUCGGCUUAACCGGGGAACUGCGUCUGAUACUGGAUGGCUUGAGAUUGGGAGAGGGAUGCGGAAUUCCAGGUGUAGCGGUGAAAUGCGUAGAUAUCGGGAGGAACACCAGUGGCGAAGGCGGCUUUCUGGCCUGCUCUUGACGCUGAGGCGCGAAAGCUAGGGUAGCAAACGGG